CAUCAGGGAGUUGUUCCAACGUGGAGAGAGAGAGAGAGAGAGAGAGAGGGAGAGAGAGAGAGAGACGGUGGAAAGAAGAGGUGGAAGAGUGAUUGAAACCUCAAUUCAGUAGGUGACGAGUCGGUGAAUCAAGGAGCACCGAAACCAUAGUUGUACUUUCUUUUGGAGUACGAGUUUUGCAGGCGUUGUAGAUAUCCACUGCUGAUCGUCGUGGGGUUGUACGCUUGCUUAGGGUAGCACGUCGGGAAGGCUGGACUAGUUUUGGCAAAAUUUUGUAGAUAGGGAUGUAGUUGCAGCCUAUGUUUAAAUUUGGUUUAUUGUAUAGUUUAAUGCUUUCUUAAGACUUCCGCUGUGUUUGUAAGAACGUUAAGUUUUGCGUUAUCAAUAAAAUGGUUGUUGGAUAA
Rhododendron vialii is the source of this 404-nucleotide long non-coding RNA. RefSeq lists it as uncharacterized. NCBI's taxonomy places the organism in Eukaryota, Viridiplantae, Streptophyta, Magnoliopsida, Ericales, Ericaceae. The transcript is spliced from 3 exons. The record is from RefSeq and is a predicted model, not a curated record.